AUUGAACGCUGGCGGCAUGCUUUACACAUGCAAGUCGAACGGCAGCGCGGGCUUCGGCCUGGCGGCGAGUGGCGAACGGGUGAGUAAUGCAUCGGAACGUGCCCAGUAGUGGGGGAUAGCCCGGCGAAAGCGGGAUUAAUACCGCAUACGACCUGAGGGUGAAAGCGGGGGACCGAAAGGCCUCGCGCUAUUGGAGCGGCCGAUGUCGGAUUAGCUAGUUGGUGGGGUAAAGGCUUACCAAGGCGACGAUCCGUAGCUGGUCUGAGAGGACGACCAGCCACACUGGGACUGAGACACGGCCCAGACUCCUACGGGAGGCAGCAGUGGGGAAUGUUGGACAAUGGGGGCAACCCUGAUCCAGCCAUGCCGCGUGCGGGAAGAAGGCCUUCGGGUUGUAAACCGCUUUUGUUCGGGAAGAAAUCCUCUGGGCUAAUACCCCGGGGGGAUGACGGUACCGGAAGAAUAAGCACCGGCUAACUACGUG
This 484-nucleotide ribosomal RNA is filed under the name uncultured bacterium. Its description in RNAcentral is "partial 16S ribosomal RNA". It matches the Rfam family "Bacterial small subunit ribosomal RNA", at positions 28 to 507 of the family's 1533-position model. The record is from RNAcentral.